UAAUACAUGCAAGUCGUACGCACUGGCCCAACUGAUUGAUGGUGCUUGCACCUGAUUGACGAUGGAUCACCAGUGAGUGGCGGACGGGUGAGUAACACGUAGGUAACCUGCCCCGGAGCGGGGGAUAACAUUUGGAAACAGAUGCUAAUACCGCAUAACAACAAAAGCCACAUGGCUUUUGUUUGAAAGAUGGCUUUGGCUAUCACUCUGGGAUGGACCUGCGGUGCAUUAGCUAGUUGGUAAGGUAACGGCUUACCAAGGCGAUGAUGCAUAGCCGAGUUGAGAGACUGAUCGGCCACAAUGGAACUGAGACACGGUCCAUACUCCUACGGGAGGCAGCAGUAGGGAAUCUUCCACAAUGGGCGCAAGCCUGAUGGAGCAACACCGCGUGAGUGAAGAAGGGUUUCGGGUCGUAAAGCUCUGUUGUUGGAGAAGAACGUGCGUGAGAGUAACUGUUCACGCAGUGACGGUAUCCAACCAGAAAGUCACGGCUAACUACGUGCCAGCAGCCGCGGUAAUAC
Molecule: ribosomal RNA, 521 nt
Filed under: Limosilactobacillus reuteri
Lineage: Bacteria; Bacillati; Bacillota; Bacilli; Lactobacillales; Lactobacillaceae
Description: bacterial SSU rRNA
Rfam family: Bacterial small subunit ribosomal RNA
Source: RNAcentral